RNAcentral lists this ribosomal RNA (599 nucleotides) under Limnobacter thiooxidans. Its description in RNAcentral is "bacterial SSU rRNA". It matches the Rfam family "Bacterial small subunit ribosomal RNA", at positions 99 to 733 of the family's 1533-position model. Lineage: Bacteria; Pseudomonadati; Pseudomonadota; Betaproteobacteria; Burkholderiales; Burkholderiaceae. The record is from RNAcentral.
CGGACGGGUGAGUAACACGUGGGAACGUGCCUUUAGGUUCGGAAUAGCUCCUGGAAACGGGUGGUAAUGCCGAAUGUGCCCUUCGGGGGAAAGAUUUAUCGCCUUUAGAGCGGCCCGCGUCUGAUUAGCUUGUUGGUGAGGUAAUGGCUCACCAAGGCUACGAUCAGUAGCUGGUCUGAGAGGAUGACCAGCCACAUUGGGACUGAGACACGGCCCAAACUCCUACGGGAGGCAGCAGUGGGGAAUCUUGCGCAAUGGGCGAAAGCCUGACGCAGCCAUGCCGCGUGGAUGAUGAAGGUCUUAGGAUUGUAAAAUCCUUUCACCGGUGAAGAUAAUGACUGUAGCCGGAGAAGAAGCCCCGGCUAACUUCGUGCCAGCAGCCGCGGUAAUACGAAGGGGGCUAGCGUUGCUCGGAAUUACUGGGCGUAAAGGGAGCGUAGGCGGACAUUUAAGUCAGGGGUGAAAUCCCAGAGCUCAACUCUGGAACUGCCUUUGAUACUGGGUGUCUUGAGUGUGAUAGAGGUAUGUGGAACUCCGAGUGUAGAGGUGAAAUUCGUAGAUAUUCGGAAGAACACCAGUGGCGAAGGCGACAUACUGGA